This 363-nucleotide long non-coding RNA is filed under the name Durio zibethinus. Its description in RNAcentral is "long non-coding RNA (DZIB_LNC000085)". The record is from RNAcentral. Lineage: Eukaryota; Viridiplantae; Streptophyta; Magnoliopsida; Malvales; Malvaceae.
CACAUUAUCUAAACCUGAAUAAUCUUUAGUAAGAGUUAUGAGGCACUUGUAUAUACUUAAAACAAUAAGUAGAAACAGUCCAUAAUUAUCGAUACAAGUCAAUUCUUAAGUUAGUUCCUAAACUUCUCUACAUCUGCUAAUCACAACCAUAUAUUACUAGCAACAUUUCUCUAGAUGCAUUCAACUUGUUGCCAAAUUCAAAAUAUCCAUACUUCUUGUGCCACAACAUGACAUACUUCUCAUCUAUUUUACCAAGAUUAGAAACAACAGCCACAUCAUUUACAGUAUGCACAACUGAAGAAGAUUGCUAGUAUUCACAAAUAUGUUCGCUUGAUUUAGUUUUCGAUUGCUUGCCAAUUAUUG